GCGAGCGGCGGAUGGGUGAGUAACACGUGGGGAACCUGCCCCUAAGUCUGGGAUACCAUUUGGAAACAGGUGCUAAUACCGGAUAAUAAAGCAGAUCGCAUGAUCAGCUUUUGAAAGGCGGCGUAAGCUGUCGCUAAGGGAUGGCCCCGCGGUGCAUUAGCUAGUUGGUAAGGUAACGGCUUACCAAGGCGACGAUGCAUAGCCGAGUUGAGAGACUGAUCGGCCACAUUGGGACUGAGACACGGCCCAAACUCCUACGGGAGGCAGCAGUAGGGAAUCUUCCACAAUGGACGCAAGUCUGAUGGAGCAACGCCGCGUGAGUGAAGAAGGUUUUCGGAUCGUAAAGCUCUGUUGUUGGUGAAGAAGGAUAGAGGUAGUAACUGGCCUUUAUUUGACGGUAAUCAACCAGAAAGUCACGGCUAACUACGUGCCAGCAGCCGCGGUAAUACGUAGGUGGCAAGCGUUGUCCGGAUUUAUUGGGCGUAAAGCGAGCGCAGGCGGAAAAAUAAGUCUAAUGUGAAAGCCCUCGGCUUAACCGAGGAACUGCAUCGGAAAACUGUUUUUCUUGAGUGCAAAAGAGGAGAGUGGAACUCCAUGUGUAGCGGUGGAAUGCGUAGAUAUAUUGGAAAGAACACCAGUGGCGAAAGGCGGCUCUCUGGUCUGCAACUGACGCUGAGGCUCCGAAAGCAUGGGU
Molecule: ribosomal RNA, 694 nt
Filed under: uncultured bacterium
Lineage: Bacteria
Description: bacterial SSU rRNA
Rfam family: Bacterial small subunit ribosomal RNA
Source: RNAcentral